GGGAAUUUUUAGGGUUAAAGGAAAUAAUGUCUAUGUAAUAAUUGAUAAACAUUUUCAAAUCUUUUUUAAAAAGUGUGAUAUUUUGAAGUUCUCAUCAAAGAAUGUACAAUCUUAAUUUUUAAAUAUGUUCUGUUGCUCUGAAUUUUGAAAACCAAUAAAAAUCUUUUUAUUUUCAUAAAGCUUUUUUAAAUGUAAGAAGUGAUUAUUACAAUAAUGUUCUGUUUGUGCAGGUGGAUGGAAAACACAGAAAGAAAAAUUCAGUGUUUGAAAGACUUCAAAUUGAUAUUCAACACUUGUGUUUGAACAAGAUUCCUGUGCUAAGAGAAGAAAAACUACCUGUGGUAGGAAUUGGAAAGCAUCUGUGUGGUAUGGCAACAGGUACGUAAACAUACUGAUAAUGUUUACAUUAAUGCAUUAAGUUUUGGCCUAACCUGGCCCCAACCAUUUCAGUGGUCUCUUUUGAAUAGAUAUCUUACGUUUACAACUCAAUAAUCUUUAUAGAGCACUGGCCCUGUGCUUUAUUAGAUGCAUAGCUUUCCUAUUUAUCUGCUCAUUUUGGCCAUUUUGCAGGAUGAAUUAAGAGUUU
Molecule: small RNA, 586 nt
Filed under: Pan troglodytes (chimpanzee)
Lineage: Eukaryota; Metazoa; Chordata; Mammalia; Primates; Hominidae
Description: processed transcript
Source: RNAcentral